This is a long non-coding RNA of Odontomachus brunneus, 2460 nucleotides long. RefSeq lists it as uncharacterized. Lineage: Eukaryota; Metazoa; Arthropoda; Insecta; Hymenoptera; Formicidae. The transcript is spliced from 4 exons. The record is from RefSeq and is a predicted model, not a curated record.
AAUCGGAAGCGGGCGCGGGCCGAGGAAUCGCGUGUGCCUGUUAUCACGCUCCUUUGAAGGAUUCCUUAACGCUCUUAAAAGGUAUCGCCAAGUAGUUUCUCAGUGUAUCUCAGUGUGGGCUCGCGCACGUCUCGCGUUCGCGUUAUCGCUUCCAGAGGGAGCGGUGCACUUGGAUACGGUGCAUUUGGACACAGCCAAUCACAGCACCGUGUGAUUAGAGACAUUUGUAGGGUCCCUUGGAACAGCGACUUGUGAUUGGACUGUAUCCAAUUGCCCCGUGUCCAACUGAUAUACAGAGCUUCCAGAGCCUCGCAAGACCCAGAAAGCAGAGUGAAUUCGCUGCUGCUUCAAAUGUAACUAAUCCAGGAUUCACACCGCAUCCGAUGUCCGACGUAUGACGUCUAAUAUCCAAUAGAAGAACAGCUUCCUAAAUUUGGAAUUCAAUUCUCCAUUGAAAAGCUAUUCUAUUAUUCCACCUUCUCGAUAUUAUCUGUGAUUGAGAGAAGAGUUUGCGAGAUCUUCUCGGAUUACUUUGGAGCCUCCACCACAAAUUGCUUCUCUUUGCGUUAUCUCACGCACUGCAGAUAUCCGUGCAUCGUUCGACAGGACUCGUUACUGUCGCGCUUGCGACUCCGCACGCGAGUCACAUCCACUUCUAAGUUCUCACCGAGUACUUAGUUUCUGCCGCGCUUCCGGCAUUAUUCACGCGACUAAUAAGGAUCUGUUUGAAAAGAUGUACAAUAUGAAAAAGACAAAUGAUAUGAUUGAAAGGAUAUAUCGUAUGGAACAGAGAAUCAAGGAAAAGGAUGAAAUUAUAAAAAAUAUGGAAAAGAUGAAUGAAAAAAUUAAGGAAGAAAUUAAGGAAAAGGAUCAUAUCCUUCAUAUUUUAUACGUAGGAGAAUUAACCCAAAGUGUCAAGUUAUUUGUUCGACAAAAGAUCUUAGAUAAUACGAGGAAUAAUAAUGAAAUUACUUCGCUGGUUCAAUUAGAUGAACUAGUUGAAAAUGGAAGUAAAUUUUUGACAGAGGAUGAGAUUAAAAGAUGGAGAGAUUUUCGGAAGAAACUUGAAUGCGAAAAAAUCCAAGUGGACCAGUUAAACUCUGCUUUAAAGGUAGCAUUGCAAUGGCGAGAUUCAUUGGCACGUCCUAAACAUUUACCAGUGACAUAACUGACUUUGAAUAAAUAAGAUAAAAUCGAUUAGGAUGGAAUUUUGAGAGAAAUGCAGAAAAUGUUUUAACUACAUUUUCAAUGAUACGGAAUGAAGGAGUGGCAAAAUGAAAAAUAAAUAAUUAAAUAAGGACUUAUCUAUAGGAUUUUUGGAAUUCAGCAAAGAAGAGUAAAACUUCUUAUUAGACGAAUCAAUAUUAAUAUGAAAUGGGAGCACCAUAUCUGAUCUGUUGGAUGAACCAAUGCCGCUCAGGGCCACCUCAGAUCGAGCAGGCACGCGAUCAUUCGCAACUGGACAUGCAAAUGGAGAAUUACCACUAGGAGUCUUCAACGCAAUGCACCUGCGAGACACCCCCGGGAGUACGAGGAAGGGCAACUGGCGGGAAGACUGAGCAGAUACGGAAGGCAGUUGUUCCCAUGAGGAUGCUGCACUUGCUAAAGAUGUACUUUAAAUCGCAAAUGACAAUUUUUCCUUGGACCUAUAUCUCGCAUCUCGCUGUAUGUACUCCUCGUCGCAGGAACAGGACUCGAAGCAUCUAUUGAUACACAAUAUGGAAAAGACUAAUAAGCAUCUGUUUGAAAAGAUACACAAUAUGGGAAAGAUGAAUAAGCAUCUGUUUGAAGCCAUCUUGUUGAAACCAUCGUUAAAAGUGCACACAACCAAUAUCUUUCAGGUAGCUUAGGAAUUCCUUAACGAUAGAAGCUCACCGGCUUCGAAGCGAUAGUCAUCAAUGCAUUUUCGUAUCUCUUCAAAUUUCACGAAAUGUGUAUUAGCCUGAUGCUGCAGCGACUGGAAUGGGUAGUAAUCGGAAGGUGCCAUGUCUGGGCUAUACGUCGCGUACAGGAGAAGUUCUCAGCCUAACGCAAAGAUAUAGGCCGGUAUUCAUAGUCGAAUCUUAUUUCAAGAUCGUCUUAAGUAAUGUCUUAAGAUGCGAAUACGGCUCUGUGAUUGGUUCAUGACAUCUUAAGACAGUACUUAAGUUGAUCUUAAAUAUAAGAUCUGAUUAUGAAUACCGGCCAUAGUCUUGAGCUUUGACUAUAUAACUAUGGACUGCUAGCGGUGAUUCUAAGCGUCUGUCAAUAUCUGUGGCGCCGCCAGGAUCAAACAACGGCAAAAGAAGCAACUCAGUAGAGUAAAACAGAGUUGGCAACGUAACCCUAAAGGGACGUCUACAUUGGAAGUAAAUAGCAAGAAGUAGGAAGUAAGAGUAAGAAAUUGACCAACCACAGUCGAAUGUGAGAAGAAUAAUUAACUAUGAUUGGUCAAUUUCUUAUUCUUACUUCCUACUUCUU